This 702-nucleotide ribosomal RNA is filed under the name uncultured bacterium. Its description in RNAcentral is "bacterial SSU rRNA". It matches the Rfam family "Bacterial small subunit ribosomal RNA", at positions 9 to 694 of the family's 1533-position model. The record is from RNAcentral.
GAGUUUGAUCCUGGCUCAGGACGAACGCUGGCGGCGUGCCUAAUACAUGCAAGUAGAACGCUGAAGUCUGGUGCUUGCACUAGACGGAUGAGUUGCGAACGGGUGAGUAACGCGUAGGUAACCUGCCUCAUAGCGGGGGAUAACUAUUGGAAACGAUAGCUAAUACCGCAUAACAGUAUUUACUGCAUGGUAGAUACUUGAAAGGAGCAAUUGCUUCACUAUGAGAUGGACCUGCGUUGUAUUAGCUAGUUGGUGGGGUAACGGCUCACCAAGGCAUCGAUACAUAGCCGACCUGAGAGGGUGAUCGGCCACACUGGGACUGAGACACGGCCCAGACUCCUACGGGAGGCAGCAGUAGGGAAUCUUCGGCAAUGGGGGCAACCCUGACCGAGCAACGCCGCGUGAGUGAAGAAGGUUUUCGGAUCGUAAAGCUCUGUUGUAAGAGAAGAACGUGUGUGAGAGUGGAAAGUUCACACAGUGACGGUAUCUUACCAGAAAGGGACGGCUAACUACGUGCCAGCAGCCGCGGUAAUACGUAGGUCCCGAGCGUUGUCCGGAUUUAUUGGGCGUAAAGCGAGCGCAGGCGGUUUGAUAAGUCUGAAGUAAAAGGCUGUGGCUUAACCAUAGUACGCUUUGGAAACUGUCAAACUUGAGUGCAGAAGGGGAGAGUGGAAUUCCAGGUGUAGCGGUGAAAUGCGUAGA